This 371-nucleotide ribosomal RNA is filed under the name uncultured Glomeromycotina. RNAcentral's name for it is "LSU rRNA". Lineage: Eukaryota; Fungi; Glomeromycota. The record is from RNAcentral.
UUGAAAGGGAAACGAUUGAAGUCAGUCGUACCGGUCGGUAAUCAGCCUUUCGGCGUGAUUAUGUGGAGCGUGAGGAGUUAAACGCCCUCAUGCCUGCAUAUUCGUGUUCUUUGGGUGUACUUACCCGCAUGGUAGGUUAACAUCAAUUUCGAACGUCAUAAAAUGGUUGGAGGAAUGUAGCUUCGAUCUCGUAUUGAAGUGUUAUAGCCUUCGGCAGAUGUGAUGAUCGGGAUUGAGGAUUGCAACGGAUACCCCUCGGGCUACCCGUCUGAUCUCUGAAAGUUACUCUGGUGCCGAAAGCUCGCUUACGGUCAUCAAAGUUGACGUUCAACAGGUUAGAACGGGAUAAAUUCGUUAAGGAUGUUGACGUA